RNAcentral lists this ribosomal RNA (200 nucleotides) under uncultured bacterium. RNAcentral's name for it is "partial 16S ribosomal RNA". It matches the Rfam family "Bacterial small subunit ribosomal RNA", at positions 8 to 211 of the family's 1533-position model. The record is from RNAcentral.
AGAGUUUGAUCCUGGCUCAGAACGAACGCUGGCGGCAUGCCUAAUACAUGCAAGUCGAACGCUCCUGGGGAUUUCGGUCCCGAGGGGAGUGGCGCACGGGUGAGUAGCGCGUGGGAACCUGCCCUGUUGUGGGGGAUAACCGAGGGAAACUUCGGCUAAUACCGCAUGCGCCCCCGGGCCUGGUCUUCGGAUUAGUCCUG